AGUGGUGUGCUUGAUAAAAAAGGUUGCUUUGAUGUGGCAAAAAUGAGGGGGAGCCCCUCCAUUACUA
This 67-nucleotide transfer RNA is filed under the name Alpheus inopinatus. RNAcentral describes it as "tRNA-Ile". Lineage: Eukaryota; Metazoa; Arthropoda; Malacostraca; Decapoda; Alpheidae. The record is from RNAcentral.